GGCGCCGGUUCCCACGUGGGACUAAUAGGGAAUUCGAAACGCCGCCCAGGCGUCAAUCGAAACUGCCCCCGCAACUGUAGGUGCUGAGCCUGCCCCUGAAUGCCACUGGACCUUGUCCGGGAAGGCGGGGGCGUGGCGAUGACGCAUCAGUCAGGAGACCUGCCGGCCCAG
This 171-nucleotide non-coding RNA is filed under the name Pseudomonas lactis. Lineage: Bacteria; Pseudomonadati; Pseudomonadota; Gammaproteobacteria; Pseudomonadales; Pseudomonadaceae. The record is from RNAcentral.